GUGAGGAAUAUUGGUCAAUGGGCGAGAGCCUGAACCAGCCAAGUCGCGUGAAGGAUGAAGGUUUUAUGAAUUGUAAACUUCUUUUGCAGGGGAAUAAAGUACGGUACGUGUACCGUUUUGUAUGUACUCUGCGAAUAAGGAUCGGCUAACUCCGUGCCAGCAGCCGCGGUAAUACGGAGGAUCCAAGCGCUAUCCGGAUUUAUUGGGUUUAAAGGGUGCGCAGGCGGGUUGAUAAGUCAGCGGUGAAAGUUUGCAGCUUAACUGUAAAAUUGCCGUUGAAAGUGUCGAUCUUGAGUGCAAAUGAGGUAAGCGGAAUGUGUUGUGUAGCGGUGAAAUGCUUAGAUAUAACACAGAACACCGAUUGCGAAGGCAGCUUACUGGGAUGCAACUGACGCUCAUGCACGAAAGCGUGGGGAUCAAACAGGAUUAGAAACCCUGGUAGUCC
RNAcentral lists this ribosomal RNA (445 nucleotides) under uncultured bacterium. RNAcentral describes it as "partial 16S ribosomal RNA". It matches the Rfam family "Bacterial small subunit ribosomal RNA", at positions 354 to 796 of the family's 1533-position model. The record is from RNAcentral.